UACGUAGGGUCCGAGCGUUGUCCGGAAUUACUGGGCGUAAAGAGUUCGUAGGUGGUUUGUCGCGUUGUUCGUGAAAACUCACAGCUUAACUGUGGGCGUGCGGGCGAUACGGGCAGACUUGAGUACUGCAGGGGAGACUGGAAUUCCUGGUGUAGCGGUGGAAUGCGCAGAUAUCAGGAGGAACACCGGUGGCGAAGGCGGGUCUCUGGGCAGUAACUGACGCUGAGGAGCGAAAGCGUGGGGAGCGAACAGG
RNAcentral lists this ribosomal RNA (253 nucleotides) under uncultured bacterium. Its description in RNAcentral is "partial 16S ribosomal RNA". It matches the Rfam family "Bacterial small subunit ribosomal RNA", at positions 524 to 776 of the family's 1533-position model. The record is from RNAcentral.